GGCGGACGGGUGAGUAACGCGUAGGAAUCUACCAAGUAGUGGGGGAUAGCCCGGAGAAAUUCGGAUUAAUACCGCAUACGCCCUACGGGGGAAAGGAGGGGAUCUUCGGACCUUUCGCUAUUUGAUGAGCCUGCGUGAGAUUAGCUAGUUGGUGGGGUAAAGGCUCACCAAGGCGACGAUCUCUAGCUGGUUUGAGAGGAUGACCAGCCACACUGGGACUGAGACACGGCCCAGACUCCUACGGGAGGCAGCAGUGGGGAAUAUUGCACAAUGGGCGCAAGCCUGAUGCAGCCAUGCCGCGUGUGUGAAGAAGGCCUUCGGGUUGUAAAGCACUUUCAGCGAGGAGGAAAGGAAUGUGGUUAAUACCCAUGUUCUGUGACGUUACUCGCAGAAGAAGCACCGGCUAACUCCGUGCCAGCAGCCGCGGUAAUACGGAGGGUGCGAGCGUUAAUCGGAAUUACUGGGCGUAAAGCGCGCGUAGGCGGCCAAGUCAGUCAGAUGUGAAAGCCCCGGGCUCAACCUGGGAACUGCACCUGAUACUGCUUGGCUAGAGUACAGAAGAGGGUGGUGGAAUUUCCUGUGUAGCGGUGAAAUGCGUAGAUAUAGGAAGGAACAUCAGUGGCGAAGGCGGCCACCUGGUCUGAUACUGA
This 650-nucleotide ribosomal RNA is filed under the name uncultured bacterium. RNAcentral describes it as "bacterial SSU rRNA". It matches the Rfam family "Bacterial small subunit ribosomal RNA", at positions 97 to 743 of the family's 1533-position model. The record is from RNAcentral.